RNAcentral lists this ribosomal RNA (500 nucleotides) under uncultured bacterium. RNAcentral describes it as "partial 16S ribosomal RNA". It matches the Rfam family "Bacterial small subunit ribosomal RNA", at positions 30 to 523 of the family's 1533-position model. The record is from RNAcentral.
AUUGAACGCUGGCGGAAUGCUUUACACAUGCAAGUCGAACGGCAGCACGGACUUCGGUCUGGUGGCGAGUGGCGAACGGGUGAGUAAUGUAUCGGAACGUGCCCAGUCGUGGGGGAUAACGUAGUGAAAAUUACGCUAAUACCGCAUACGAUCUAUGGAUGAAAGCGGGGGAUCGCAAGACCUCGCGCGAUUGGAGCGGCCGAUAUCAGAUUAGGUAGUUGGUGGGGUAAAGGCCCACCAAGCCAACGAUCUGUAGCUGGUCUGAGAAGACGACCAGCCAGACUGGAACUGAGACACGGUCCAGACUCCUACGGGAGGCAGCAGUGGGGAAUUUUGGACAAUGGGCGAAAGCCUGAUCCAGCCAUUCCGCGUGCAGGAUGAAGGCCCUCGGGUUGUAAACUGCUUUUGUACAGAACGAAAAGGUUUCUACUAAUACUAGGAGCUCAUGACGGUACUGUAAGAAUAAGCACCGGCUAACUACGUGCCAGCAGCCGCCGUAA